Molecule: non-coding RNA, 217 nt
Filed under: Apilactobacillus kunkeei
Lineage: Bacteria; Bacillati; Bacillota; Bacilli; Lactobacillales; Lactobacillaceae
Description: T-box
Rfam family: T-box leader
About the family: Uncharged tRNA acts as the effector for transcription antitermination of genes in the T-box leader family. T-boxes are found upstream of many aminoacyl-tRNA synthetase genes and some amino acid biosynthetic genes usually in Gram-positive bacteria.
Source: RNAcentral
ACAAAUGCGAAGAUCAAGAGAGUAGUUUUGAUGAUGAGUAUCAGAGAAAAGAUGAUUAGGUGAGACAUCUUUCCGUUAUCAAAAUGAAGGUAGCUUGUGAGCAUUCAUAUUGAUAUUGAUAAUUUAGAUAUGAACGGGCCAUCGUUAAUUGGAUUAAGAGAAAGUAUUUGUUUUAAUGCUUUAAAUUAGGUGGUACCGCGAGCACUUCGUCCUAUUG